Molecule: ribosomal RNA, 253 nt
Filed under: uncultured bacterium
Lineage: Bacteria
Description: partial 16S ribosomal RNA
Rfam family: Bacterial small subunit ribosomal RNA
Source: RNAcentral
GACGGAGGAUGCAAGCGUUACCCGGAAUGAUUGGGCGUAAAGCGUACGCAGGCGGCUGAGCAAGUCUGCUGUGAAAGACCGGAGCUUAACUCGAGAAAGGCAUUCGAAACUGAACGGCUGGAGGGCAGAUCGGGUAGGGGGAAUUCCCGGUGUAGCGGUGAAAUGCGUAGAGAUCGGGAGGAACACCGGUGGCGAAACCGCUCUGCUGGCCUGUCCCUGACGCUCAGGCGCGAAAGCUAGGGGAGCGAAAGGG